This 494-nucleotide ribosomal RNA is filed under the name uncultured bacterium. RNAcentral describes it as "partial 16S ribosomal RNA". It matches the Rfam family "Bacterial small subunit ribosomal RNA", at positions 29 to 505 of the family's 1533-position model. The record is from RNAcentral.
AUGAACGCUGGCGGCGUGCCUAAUACAUGCAAGUCGAGCAAACGGACGAGAAGCUUGCUUCUCUGAUGUUAGCGGCGGACGGGUGAGUAACACGUGGAUAACCUACCUAUAAGACUGGGAUAACUUCGGGAAACCGGAGCUAAUACCGGAUAAUAUUUUGAACCGCAUGGUUCAAAAGUGAAAGACGGUCUUGCUGUCACUUAUAGAUGGAUCCGCGCUGCAUUAGCUAGUUGGUAAGGUAACGGCUUACCAAGGCAACGAUGCAUAGCCGACCUGAGAGGGUGAUCGGCCACACUGGAACUGAGACACGGUCCAGACUCCUACGGGAGGCAGCAGUAGGGAAUCUUCCGCAAUGGGCGAAAGCCUGACGGAGCAACGCCGCGUGAGUGAUGAAGGUCUUCGGAUCGUAAAACUCUGUUAUUAGGGAAGAACAUAUGUGUAAGUAACUGUGCACAUCUUGACGGUACCUAAUCAGAAAGCCACGGCUAACUACG